This 71-nucleotide transfer RNA is filed under the name Canis lupus familiaris (dog). It matches the Rfam family "tRNA". From Rfam's summary of the family: Transfer RNA (tRNA) molecules are approximately 80 nucleotides in length. Their secondary structure includes four short double-helical elements and three loops (D, anti-codon, and T loops). The record is from Rfam by way of RNAcentral. RNAcentral also lists the same sequence under 1 other name. Lineage: Eukaryota; Metazoa; Chordata; Mammalia; Carnivora; Canidae.
GCCUGGCUGGCGCUUGGUAGAGCAUGAGACUCUUGAUCUUGGGUUCAUGAGUUCAAGCCUCAUGUUGGGCG